This 468-nucleotide ribosomal RNA is filed under the name uncultured bacterium. Its description in RNAcentral is "partial 16S ribosomal RNA". It matches the Rfam family "Bacterial small subunit ribosomal RNA", at positions 28 to 507 of the family's 1533-position model. The record is from RNAcentral.
GACGAACGCUGGCGGCGUGCUUAACACAUGCAAGUCGAACGGAAAGGCCCUGCUUUUGUGGGGUGCUCGAGUGGCGAACGGGUGAGUAACACGUGAGUAACCUGCCCUUGACUUUGGGAUAACUUCAGGAAACUGGGGCUAAUACCGGAUAGGAGCUCCUGUUGCAUGGUGGGGGUUGGAAAGUUUCGGCGGGUGGGGAUGGACUCGCGGCUUAUCAGCUUGUUGGUGGGGUAGUGGCUUACCAAGGCAUUGACGGGUAGCCGGCCUGGGAGGGGGACCGGCCACAAUGGGACUGAGAGACGGCCCAGACUCCUACGGGAGGCAGCAGUGGGGAAUAUUGCACAAUGGGCGGAAGCCUGAUGCAGCAACGCCGCGUGCGGGAUGACGGCCUUCGGGUUGUAAACCGCUUUCGCCUGUGACGAAGCGUGAGUGACGGUAAUGGGUAAAGAAGCACCGGCUAACUACGUG